Molecule: ribosomal RNA, 834 nt
Filed under: Salmonella enterica subsp. enterica
Lineage: Bacteria; Pseudomonadati; Pseudomonadota; Gammaproteobacteria; Enterobacterales; Enterobacteriaceae
Description: partial 23S ribosomal RNA
Rfam family: Bacterial large subunit ribosomal RNA
Source: RNAcentral
GCGAUACAGGGUGACAGCCCCGUACACAAAAGCGCAUGUGCUGUGAGCUCGAUGAGUAGGGCGGGACACGUGGUAUCCUGUCUGAAUAUGGGGGGACCAUCCUCCAAGGCUAAAUACUCCUGACUGACCGAUAGUGAACCAGUACCGUGAGGGAAAGGCGAAAAGAACCCCGGCGAGGGGAGUGAAAAAGAACCUGAAACCGUGUACGUACAAGCAGUGGGAGCACAGGUUUACCUGUGUGACUGCGUACCUUUUGUAUAAUGGGUCAGCGACUUAUAUUCUGUAGCAAGGUUAACCGUAUAGGGGAGCCGGAGGGAAACCGAGUCUUAACCGGGCGUUAAGUUGCAGGGUAUAGACCCGAAACCCGGUGAUCUAGCCAUGGGCAGGUUGAAGGUUGGGUAACACUAACUGGAGGACCGAACCGACUAAUGUUGAAAAAUUAGCGGAUGACCUGUGGCUGGGGGUGAAAGGCCAAUCAAACCGGGAGAUAGCUGGUUCUCCCCGAAAGCUAUUUAGGUAGCGCCUCGUGAAUUCAUCUCCGGGGGUAGAGCACUGUUUCGGCUAGGGGGCCAUCCCGGCUUACCAACCCGAUGCAAACUGCGAAUACCGGAGAAUGUUAUCACGGGAGACACACGGCGGGUGCUAACGUCCGUCGUGAAGAGGGAAACAACCCAGACCGCCAGCUAAGGUCCCAAAGUCAUGGUUAAGUGGGAAACGAUGUGGGAAGGCCCAGACAGCCAGGAUGUUGGCUUAGAAGCAGCCAUCAUUUAAAGAAAGCGUAAUAGCUCACUGGUCGAGUCGGCCUGCGCGGAAGAUGUAACGGGGCUAAACCAU